UCAUUCAGUAAAUAGGCAUUUUCUUUUUCUUACAAGAUGAUCAUAGGAAAGCAGUUUUUAACACAAUUCUCUCUCUUUCUCUCUCUCUUUUUUCCCCCUUUUUUUCAAAAGGCACCCCAUCAUCAGUAGGAGUUAGUGUGGCAAGGCUUGAUGGUUCAACCAUGAAUUCCUUACGUCAUUUGCUUCUUGAACUAGGUUUCUGCCAGGUGCAUAGAGACAAUGUACGAAAUUUGCUUGAAGAUAUUAAAAAACCACUGCGCAAACACACAUAAAGGGAAAGAAUGCAAAAAAGGAGUAGCUGGAACAAGAAUGACAAAGUGGCCACGCCUGAAUUUGGGGAGGAGUUCGCUAUGUUAUUCUGUUCGUAAUCGUUCAUAUUAAAAAGUUUAAAAUGA
Molecule: long non-coding RNA, 395 nt
Organism: Leopardus geoffroyi (Geoffroy's cat)
Lineage: Eukaryota; Metazoa; Chordata; Mammalia; Carnivora; Felidae
Exons: 2
Source: RefSeq, a predicted model, not a curated record